CAUACAUAAGGCUCAAUGAUUGAACAAGGGAGGAGAUCAAGGCAGAGUCAGGGCAAAGGAUGGUAAAAAAACAUGUUCCAUGGGAAGUACAGGCCACACCCAGGCUAAGAGAUUGCAUUAGAGUGAGAUCUGAAGGUUGAGUAAGAGUUUACUUAGUAUAGGUGAACUUCUUGGUGGAUGUGGGCCGCAAUUUCAGCCAGAGGUCCAGAAGUUCAAGGAGCGUAAAGAUCUAGGUGUGGACAUCUGAAGCAUGGAGCCUGUGGGGAAGAUCUGGACACAUUUCUCCCCACCAAAGCAGGCUCCGUUAGUAAGAAAAAUAUUGAAAGCAAUCAGAUGGCAAGCUCCUGUGGACUGAGAAAGCCCAAAGCAGAGGAUUGGAGAUGGAAGGAAGGAAAGGAAAGACCUUGAGGAAAGUACAAAGUCUACCCACACGAGCAUUUCCUAAUGAGCGUUCUGCAGAAAACAAGUUCCACAAAGCAUUGGUAGGUGUUAUUCGCGGGGUGCACUUCGAAUUUGCAAUCACCAUGAGGCUCCAGGGUGAGGAAUGUCUUCUGACUCUACUUCUGCAAACUUCAUUCGAUGCGCCUGUGAGAGAAAACGAGGGAUCCCAGUGUCUGAAGGAAAAAAUGGUUCUGUAA
RNAcentral lists this long non-coding RNA (638 nucleotides) under Felis catus (domestic cat). RNAcentral describes it as "lncRNA (ENSFCAG00000040723.2)". The record is from RNAcentral. Lineage: Eukaryota; Metazoa; Chordata; Mammalia; Carnivora; Felidae.